AAGUCGUAACAAGGUUUCCGUAGGUAGGUGAACCUGCGGAAGGAUCAUUAACACGUAUCCAACGUUAAACCUGCAAAAAUGAACGUAAUCAGGGGGUUGUGAAAGUGUUCAACCUGAUUAUUUUUAUCUUUGGAAGUAGAAAGUGUACGAGAUGCUGUAAGGUAGACUGCUUUAACGAGCGGGUACCAGUAGGCCGACACGGCCGGUAUCGGAUCCUGGGCGUCGUUCCUAUAGGAACGAGUACACGUCCCUCUUGACCCCUUGAAACGACAGGGUGUCGCGAAAACGUGGUAAGGCAUGAUUUUACUUGUACCGAAAGGUCCAAGUACUAACUGAACAACUGUUAACAAUGGAUAUCUUGGUUCUC
RNAcentral lists this unclassified non-coding RNA (367 nucleotides) under fungal sp. RNAcentral's name for it is "partial internal transcribed spacer region". The stretch from base 1 to 50 matches the Rfam family "Eukaryotic small subunit ribosomal RNA". Lineage: Eukaryota; Fungi. The record is from RNAcentral.